RNAcentral lists this unclassified non-coding RNA (605 nucleotides) under Hevea brasiliensis (rubber tree). Lineage: Eukaryota; Viridiplantae; Streptophyta; Magnoliopsida; Malpighiales; Euphorbiaceae. The record is from RNAcentral.
AGGAAAUUGCAUCUUUCAAUUCCCAUCUUUGGAACAAGUAACUGUUGUUAAAUGCCCCAACUUGAGGAUUUUCAGUCCUGGUGUGUUAAGCGCGCCGAAGCUACAGAGUGUAGAAGUGGCGUGGAGAGAAUUUCAUUGGGAAAGAGAUCUCAAUGCCACCAUUGAACAUUUGUAUGAGAAAGCGAUUGGAAUUGAACGCAUCAGUCAUGUGAAACUCUCCAACUUUCCGAUGUUAAAAGAAAAUUGGAAUUGUCAAUUUCCAUUCAAGCGCUUGGAGUAUUUAAAAAGCUUGGUGGUAGACGAGUGUGCAUUUUUCUCAAAUGCCAUAUCAUCAAAUCUACUGAAGCACGCGAGGUACUUUUUGAAAGAGCUGGCUGUAGAAAAAUGUGAUUCAGUUGAAGAGUUGUUUGAUUUAGAAGGGCUAAAUGCCGAUGAAGGUCAUCUUCGGCUAAUGAGUGAUUUAAAUGAAUUGCGGUUAAUUGAUUUGCCUAGGUUGAGGCACGUGUGGAACAAGGAUCCUCAAGGAUUUUUGAGCUUUAAAAACCUAAAAUUGCUGCAAGUUCAUAAUUGCAGCAACUUGGCUAAUAUAUUUACUCUGUCCAUGG